CAGUGAGGAAUUUUGCGCAAUGGGGGAAACCCUGACGCAGCAACGCCGCGUGAGUGAUGAAGGCUUUCGGGUCGUAAAGCUCUGUCAAGUGGGAAGAAUAUGCCCUGUGAUAAUACCAUGGGGCACUGACGGUACCACUGAAGGAAGCACCGGCUAACUCCGUGCCAGCAGCCGCGGUAAUACGGGGGGUGCAAGCGUUAUUCGGAAUCAUUGGGCGUAAAGGGCGCGUAGGCGGCCCCUUAAGUCAGAUGUGAAAGCCCUCAGCUUAACUGAGGAAGUGCAUUUGAAACUAAGGGGCUUGAGUAUGGGAGAGGGAAGCGGAAUUCCUGGUGUAGCGGUGAAAUGCGUAGAUAUCAGGAGGAACACCGGUGGCGAAGGCGGCUUCCUGGACCAAUACUGACGCUGAGGCGCGAAGGCGUGGGGAGCAAACAGGAUUAGA
This 439-nucleotide ribosomal RNA is filed under the name uncultured bacterium. Its description in RNAcentral is "bacterial SSU rRNA". It matches the Rfam family "Bacterial small subunit ribosomal RNA", at positions 352 to 782 of the family's 1533-position model. The record is from RNAcentral.